CUUCUGAGAAGGUUGCGCAGCAGCUGUGCCCGGCAGUCUAGAGGCGCAGAAGAGGAAGCCAUCGCCUGGCCCCGGCUCUCUGGACCUUGUCUCGCUCGGGAGCGGAAACAGCGGCAGCCAGAGAACUGUUUUAAUCAUGGACAAACAAAACUCACAGAUGAAUGCUUCUCACCCGGAAACAAACUUGCCAGUUGGGUAUCCUCCUCAGUAUCCACCGACAGCAUUCCAAGGACCUCCAGGAUAUAGUGGCUACCCUGGGCCCCAGGUCAGCUACCCACCCCCACCAGCCGGCCAUUCAGGUCCUGGCCCAGCUGGCUUUCCUGUCCCAAAUCAGCCAGUGUAUAAUCAGCCAGUAUAUAAUCAGCCAGUUGGAGCUGCAGGGGUACCAUGGAUGCCAGCGCCACAGCCUCCAUUAAACUGUCCACCUGGAUUAGAAUAUUUAAGUCAGAUAGAUCAGAUACUGAUUCAUCAGCAAAUUGAACUUCUGGAAGUUUUAACAGGUUUUGAAACUAAUAACAAAUAUGAAAUUAAGAACAGCUUUGGACAGAGGGUUUACUUUGCAGCGGAAGAUACUGAUUGCUGUACCCGAAAUUGCUGUGGGCCAUCUAGACCUUUUACCUUGAGGAUUAUUGAUAAUAUGGGUCAAGAAGUCAUAACUCUGGAGAGACCACUAAGAUGUAGCAGCUGUUGUUGUCCCUGCUGCCUUCAGGAGAUAGAAAUCCAAGCUCCUCCUGGUGUACCAAUAGGUUAUGUUAUUCAGACUUGGCACCCAUGUCUACCAAAGUUUACAAUUCAAAAUGAGAAAAGAGAGGAUGUACUAAAAAUAAGUGGUCCAUGUGUUGUGUGCAGCUGUUGUGGAGAUGUUGAUUUUGAGAUUAAAUCUCUUGAUGAACAGUGUGUGGUUGGCAAAAUUUCCAAGCACUGGACUGGAAUUUUGAGAGAGGCAUUUACAGACGCUGAUAACUUUGGAAUCCAGUUCCCUUUAGACCUUGAUGUUAAAAUGAAAGCUGUAAUGAUUGGUGCCUGUUUC
Molecule: long non-coding RNA, 1030 nt
Filed under: Homo sapiens (human)
Lineage: Eukaryota; Metazoa; Chordata; Mammalia; Primates; Hominidae
Description: long non-coding RNA NONHSAT196379.1
Source: RNAcentral